Molecule: ribosomal RNA, 504 nt
Filed under: uncultured Gammaproteobacteria bacterium
Lineage: Bacteria; Pseudomonadati; Pseudomonadota; Gammaproteobacteria
Description: bacterial SSU rRNA
Rfam family: Bacterial small subunit ribosomal RNA
Source: RNAcentral
GAGUUUGAUCUUGGCUCAGAACGAACGCUGGCGGCAGGCCUAACACAUGCAAGUCGAGCGGCAGCGCGGGGCAACCUGGCGGCGAGCGGCGGACGGGUGAGUAACGCGUAGGAAUCUACCCAGUAGCGGGGGAUAGCCCGGGGAAACUCGGAUUAAUACCGCAUACGCCCUAAGGGGGAAAGCAGGGGAUCUUCGGACCUUGCACUAUUGGCAGAGCCUGCGUUGGAUUAGCUAGUUGGUGGGGUAAAGGCCUACCAAGGCAACGAUCCAUAACUGGUCUGAGAGGAUGAUCAGUCACACCGGAACUGAGACACGGUCCGGACUCCUACGGGAGGCAGCAGUGGGGAAUAUUGGACAAUGGGGGCAACCCUGAUCCAGCCAUGCCGCGUGUGUGAAGAAGGCCUUGGUUGUAAGCACUUAGUGGGAGAAGGUCGGCAGCUAAUACCUGCCGGAAGUGAUGUUACCACAGAAUAAGACACCGGCUAACUCUGUGCCAGCCGCCGC